This 137-nucleotide antisense RNA is filed under the name Nitrosomonas cryotolerans ATCC 49181. Its description in RNAcentral is "Bacterial antisense RNA HPnc0260". It matches the Rfam family "Bacterial antisense RNA HPnc0260". The record is from Rfam by way of RNAcentral. Lineage: Bacteria; Pseudomonadati; Pseudomonadota; Betaproteobacteria; Nitrosomonadales; Nitrosomonadaceae.
AUUUAUACAGAUUACACACGUAUUUUUUUAUCGACAGAAUCAGAUCCUUAUUUAAAACAAGGCCGAUCUAAAAGACACUCCAAAUUUCCUGAGAAAUUUGGUAGGCGCGAUUGGACUCGAACCAACGACCCCCACCA